Molecule: ribosomal RNA, 483 nt
Filed under: Triticum aestivum (bread wheat)
Lineage: Eukaryota; Viridiplantae; Streptophyta; Magnoliopsida; Poales; Poaceae
Description: partial small subunit ribosomal RNA
Source: RNAcentral
AUGUAUAACCUUCCUCCUUGGAUGUGCAUGAAGCGGAAGUUCAUUAUGAUGCCAGUUCUCAUCCAAGGCCCUAAGCAACCCGGCAACGACAUUGAUGUGUACCUAAGGCCAUUAGUUGAAGAACUUUUACAGCUGUGGAAUGGAAAUGGUGUACGUACGUGGGAUGAGCACAGACAGGAGGAAUUUAACUUAAAGGCGUUGAUGUUCGUGACCAUCAAUGAUUGGCCCACUCUCAGUAACCUUUCAGGACAGACAAACAAAGGAUACCACGCAUGCACGCACAUUUUGGAUGACACUGAAAGUAUAUACAUGGACAAAUGCAGGAAGAAUGUGUACCUGGGCCAUCGUCGAUUUCUUCCGACCAACCAUCAAUGUCGAAAGAAAGGCAAGCAUUUCAAAGGCGAGGCAGAUCAUCGGAAGAAGCCUGCCAUGCGUACCGGUGAUCACGUACUUGCUAUGGUCAAUGAUUUACACGUAAUCUAA